UUUUGGAGGCUAAGCAGGGUCUGGCCUGGUUAGUACUUGGAUGGGAGACCUCACUAGGAAGUACCAAGGAUCUCCAGAAA
RNAcentral lists this ribosomal RNA (80 nucleotides) under Pogona vitticeps (central bearded dragon). Lineage: Eukaryota; Metazoa; Chordata; Lepidosauria; Squamata; Agamidae. The record is from RNAcentral.